Gasterosteus aculeatus aculeatus (three-spined stickleback) is the source of this 13264-nucleotide long non-coding RNA. The record is from Ensembl. Lineage: Eukaryota; Metazoa; Chordata; Actinopteri; Perciformes; Gasterosteidae.
AUGCUCAACCUUAUUCUCCACCGCCCACCUUUUGACCUGAAACCUCAAACUCCCCCAAAUAAAUUCUUACCCGCCCACCUAACCCCCCCUCGGUCCUGUUCGGUCCUGUCCCGUAAACCUAACCUCACCUUCUCCCCCUGAACUCACCUCUUCCCCUCCCUCCGACCCACCAAACUCUCCCCCCCUCCCCCUCCUGCCCCGCCAGCUGUAACCCCGAGCUUACCUUUAAACGCGGUUAGCCCCGCCCCUCUCGACCCCUGAACACACCUCAGCUCGCCCAGUGUGGCCCCCUCUCCCGUUUGAACUCGCCCAUAACGUCCCACUGAACUUCAACACUUGUGUCUUUUCUCCCACACGUCCCACAGCAGACGGCAGAAGUAGCUCCACUUGGAAUAUCUACUUAAAUGCUGGUGUUCAUUCAUAUUGAGAGAAUUCCCCAUAAAAGGCCUUUGAUCUCAUCGUCCCGUUUUUCUCCUUCCUUGUAAACAGAAACGUCGUUGGAGGGUCAGACGCUCGUUAGACAUCCGUCGGGUUUCUCUCGAAAUCCACAUUCUCACAUUCUGAGGUUAUAACAUUCACAGCUGAGAGGCCUUAUGGAUUCGUCCAAUGCUGAAGCGCGCGCACACGCACACACACACACACACACACACACACACAGGGCAGCUCGUGUUUUCUGGUUGACCUUCGCCUCGCUCUUCUGUGCUCUCACCUCGUAAUUUAGCGCUUAUUUUCACAUUGCACGCACACAGGUAGAGAAACACAAACUCUCUGCAAACCACCGAUACAGACAUCCAGGGGGCCGGUCUCACCUCGACGGGUUAUCUCUCUCUUCUAGCCCCCCCCCCCACACACACACAGUGUGCGCUGACCCCGGAGCAGCUCAUUGAAGUCCCAAUAAAACACGGAGGAAUCGUCGGCACGCAACUUGACAUUCUAGUGGUUUGUUUGGAUAACCUCACACACACACACACACACACACACACACACACACGCACACACACACACUCGUUCUGCAGCACACAGUAUUUUACAUUUACGACUCUCCAGAUCCUGAGAGACCCCACUGCCUCGCUCGGCCUUCGGCGCUGCCCUCUGGUCCACCCCGCCACACACACACACAAACACACACACACGCGCACACAUACACACACACACUCUCUUUCCCAGCAAUUAUCUUCAAACUAAACACUGGCUCAGAAGCGGUAACAACAGAGCAGAGCUAUUGUGAGCACCGUACUUUUUUUGUCAGGUUGUUGCUACACUGACAUUUUUUAGGACUUUACGUCCACGGGAGACCAAUGAAUGGAAAGUGCUAAAUAUUCGCCUUCAAAUACACAAUAUCGAUUAAACGCAGGCAUACUUCGUUAUGACUUGACAAACGAUUCACUUACCUUCAGAAAUAUUCCUUUAUAAAACACAACUCUUAAUGGGACUCGGAGGCCUGUUCAGUCUCUGCACAACAAAUGUUAUGUUCUCAUAACUCUGGACGGACAUUUCGCUUUUUUUAAAUCAAAAUCUUGUGUUCGGCUUCUCCUUCGGAGUUUGGAAGUGGUUUGAAGUCGGGUUGUUGAAUAGAAGUCAAUGGCCGUAAAAUGUGCAGUCCUCCUCUUGAUGUAUAAAUCACACCGGUAACGAUAUUCCUAAAUGUUCCUCCUUAAUUGCUGUUUGCACAUGCACACGUGUGUGUUUGUGCUCUACUUUAGACAACUAAAGGCUGCACGCACUAUUUUGUUGGCCUGUGUGUGUGUGUCUGUGUGUGUACUCCUGUUCCCCCUGCUGUGUGUUCCAGGUCUGUACUUAUGAGUCUCUCCCUGAGAACUAAAUCUUCUAUAACUUUCACCUCAACAUGACCUUCGAUUUAAGUGUGUGAGUGUGUAAACGGCGUAAUCAUUACCUCACCCUGACCUGUGUGUGUGUGUGUGUGUGUGUGUGUGCGCGCUUUUUAUGUCACCUAAUCCUGACCUCGACCUCUUGACAACACUCUCUUUCACGAUAUAAAACACUGUAAUGGUGGCGUUUUUCACUUCAAAAGGCGCACACUGAGGUUUCGGGGGAAACACAUCAGUCAUUUUACGCGUUCAGGUUAUGAGAACGCAGACACCAAAAUCAUCCGCGUGCACCUCGUACAUCAUCCCGUGCACUUCAACGUGGACCAGGGCCCCUCUAAAGUCUGUCAUUUGAAGGCACCAGGAGUUUCAGGACCUCAGAUCGUGUAACGCUGAUACUUUUGGGUCAAUAAAUAUGUCGCAUAGAUUUGUAUCUGUCUUAUAGAUUUAAGGGGAGCAAAUUCAGCAGUGGUUCUGCCACAAGCGCCAAUUAAGGGGGUUGUGGUCGAUGUCAGAAGCCUGUGUAACGUCAGCACACGAGUCCAAAGGUGGGAUUCUUAUUUAGGAUCAGCUUCCACUAAAUGGCACCAUGAGAUGAGAAGGUCAGGUGAGUGGGUCGCAGGGGGGUGAGGGAGUGACCCACCCACUCGCGUUGGGGGAAUGAGUGGGUAACCGGGCGGCUAGAUGGGUGGGUAUGAGUGCAGUUGGGUAGUUGGGUAUGUGCGCGGUUGGGUAAGUGGGUGGGAUGUGAGUAGAAGAAGGUACAUAUUAUUUUAUUUCUAGGUCACUAUUUCCUAAUGUUUAACUGCUGUAUUUAGACAGAAAAUGUAACAAAGUAUAACCAGAAGUGAGACCCAACAACAGUUUCCACACAAAGGCAGUUCUUUAAAUAUGUAUUUUUGUGUUAUGAUGAAACACACUCUUCUUUUUGGAGGCCAACUCCUUUCAGCUCCGCAUAACGUGGCGAAUCCUCAUUUGUGGUUUCAUGCAGACAACGCGGCUGCCAUCGCAGAAUAAAGCCUUGACAUGAUAACGCUUCCAGCUAAAACACAGCGAAACCACGGACAUCUGUGAGGAGAGUCGCCCGUCAGUCCCUGAGAACACGUGCAGCGGCGCGCACAAAGGAGAGGACUUCACCUUCGGCCUCCCACCGCGUGAGGAAACGUCCCGCUCGCCCUCGACCGGCGCCGUGGUUAGUGUUACUGUCUCCUCUGCCGGAGUUCAGCGGCGGACGGUCCGACCGCAGACGAUUCGCAGACGCGUUCACCGCCACCUUCCCCCCCGACUGUCCUCGCCUCCUUGUUCCGCUGCUGGAAAGCACGAGGUGCCCGUUUAAGCCCCCCAAAAUCCUCUCGGCCCGGCGGGUCUUUUGCUUCUGGAAUGCGCAGCACUGAGAAUGUAUUUGAAGCGGGACGAAUUUCCCUCGAGCGGUGAAAAAGAUGUGUUUGAAGGUCGGGUUGGAGGUCGGGUUGGAGGACGGGUUGGAGGACGGGUUGGAGGUCGUGUUGGAGGUCGGGUUGGAGGUCGGGUUGGAGGACGGGUUGGAGGACGGGUUGGAGGACGGGUUGGAGGACGCGUGGAGUCGGUUCGGGCGUCGCUCGUCGAGGCCUCGCUGCCAGAUCUUACGGCAGGAUUAUGACGUCUCGUAAAUACUUCGACACAAAGCGGCCACGCAAUGAAAUACGCGGGCCGCCGUGUGCGAUCCAGCACGCCGUCCUCCCUGAAGGUCCAUUUCAUAUUCAUAAAUAAUGACGAAAAGUCCGACGCAAGAGAAAAUAACGUUGUCCUCGUACAGGGCCUUUAUUUCAAUAAUCCACACAUUCCGACAGGCUUCCCCUCCCGAACCACCUCUGUAAGCGUUUUAUCAUCACCACCACAUCUGGGGUGGGCAUUCGUCAAGGACAGAAACAUUGCGUCUUUACCUAAACAAGUACAACAAUUUAUAGCUUUCUAACUUUUAAAAUAGCACGCCGUGAAAGUUUUUACUGCUACUGACGUUGUAGUGAGGUUUGGACACACUCUGAUCUCAUCAAACAUGACUUCAGGGACGUUAAAUCAGCCCGUUUUAUCUCCGAGAGGAAGCCUUGACGUUUUUUACAAUGGGGAUUUACAGCUAACAAUAACUUCCUGCUGGGGACUCAAAGACUACAAAUAGAUGCAACAUUCAUAAAACGUUAUUUCUAUUGACAUUCUCAGGCAAUUAGAAGGGAUUGUAAUGAGCAACAUUUACAUGUGUGGAGGAAAAAGGCCUUUAAUGUUUAAUGGGUUUCAUCUUGAGCACAUAUAGUAUAUCAUGUGUUCAUACGUUUGGAUAAUUAACUGAUACCUAAUACAUGUUGAUGCAUAUUGCAAUGACUUUAUUUAAGAUGCUUUGUACUUUAUUUGGGAUAUUUUACUAAAUUUCUUUGGAUAUUUUAGUGAAUUUGCACAGAAUGUCACCAAAUAGCUUUUUACUGUCUUUUACUGUUUUCUUUUAGUGUAGGGUCUUACUAACAAUUUCCAGAUAUUUUUUGGGGGGCUACAUUUUCAGAGUGAUUGAAUUAGUUCCAACGAUGUCGUAAAAGUGAAUCCCGUAUAAACGUCAACCCCGCGCCGCCGUAACUGAUGUAGUGCCCCUGUGUUUAAAGACGGAGGCUCAGCCAAUCGGCUGCCUGCUUCAGAAUCACGGCCAACGUGGCGUCCAGCUGAAAUUAAAAAGAGCCGAGCCGCGGCCGCUCGCUCACUUCAACGGUUGUUGUUCCUCAAGCGGCAAAAAACAACAAACAAAAAAAAAGCAUCAUUCAUGGUUUUCAGAGGCAUCUCCGGCAAAUCCGGCCCACCUGUGUUUCCUUGACACGAGAGCUGUGUGUGUGUUUGUGUGUAAAUGCGUGUGUGUGUGCGUGAUUGGUUAUUAUGUUAUUUUGUCAACAGAACAGUUUUUAACAAGCACGUGGGCAUGAGCACCAAAUAGGUGAAUACAAAAAACAAAAAAAAGGAAUUACACUAUAAACACCAGCAGGAACGAGUGGGUCAGGGUUUAUGUGUGUGUGUGUGUGUUCCUGUGCGUGUUUGUGUGUGCUCUAUAAAGCGAUAGCGGAAUGUGCUCUCACUCUUUAAUGAGGUUCAUCAAAAACAGUCAGGCGUCAAGAAAUGAGCCUCUUCACACGCAACGAGGGACGGGGGGGACGGGGGGGAGGGCUCUAUCUCACACAUGGGAAGUAACGAACGGUCAAUAAACAGACCGCCGCGUUGGUCAGUUUAAAAACCUCAUUACACCAGCAAGGAAGAUCAGGUUUUUGGGGCCUUUUCUUGGCUCCAAAAGCAGACAUGCAGCACGAAUACAGGCGUCAAAUAGAAGGUGUGUGCAGCAUCCUCACGUCGGAUAGAGUCACGUGACCCGGUGGUGGGAAAGAGUAAUGCAGCCUCAAAGAAAAGACGCUUUGAAAAUGUGCAUUUCCAACGCGUUGGCACCGCCCGCGGAGGCCCCCGGUGAUACAAAACCAAGCGGGUGCGAAUGUUUUUGCCCAGAACGAAACCGGGAGGAACGCGCAGGGAGCCAGUGGAGGGAGAAAGUGACAAUAUGAGAGAUUUAAGGCGAGUUGGGACAAGAAAAAGAGGCUGAUUUACUGGAACAAAAAGAAGCGAUCAAGGAGAAAGAAGACGCAGUGAAGAUUUGUGAUUGAGCUUUUCUCUCCAAAUCUGAAAAAGUUCUCCGUCUUGGUUCCCCAUGAUGACGCUAAAUCUCAAAGCCCACAUUGUACCGCCUGCAUGCGGUUGUGUGUGUGUGUGUGUGUGUGUGUAUAUAAAUCAACAGCAUGUUUUCUUUCACUCUGCUCCAGUGGAAUAUUUUUUUAAUGAGUUGUUUUAUUCCCGACUCCCGACCGUCACAUGAACGCUGACGCACCGUCGGAGACAAGCGUAUGAAACGGGGGGACGGAGGACUUAUAGAGGCCGAGGGACACACACACACACACACACACACACAGAUCAACUCCUGCUUUGAUCGGCCGUAUACUUGUGUUUUAUUUUAUAAAAGUUCUCUUCUCUGUUGCACGGAUCCAAAAUGCAACAAACACACACACACACACACACAAAAUGUGCUGGCAGGGGAAAAAUGUUUGAUGUCGAAAUACAGUUUGUAAUCUGCACCAAACAUUCUCGGAAAGGACGUUUUGUACAUGUGUCUGAACAUAUACACGAGAAGAGAAAAACAACCGAAGGCGCGCCAAAACAUCCAGGUCUUCACAACAGCUUCAGAGAUACUUCACAGGUUGUGACCUCAUUCGCCUUCCUAUCAGCCCUCUUAUCUAUGUGUGUGUGUGUGUGGUGUCGUGUCAGAUAGGAUGUCUGAUCUUUUAUCGCUCUGGCUGCAGAAUCACCUGCCAGAUGAACCGGCGGGUUCAGCCUGCGAGAGCUUCGGGGCCUCGACAUCCCCGGGACGGCCGGAGGCCGCGGCGAGACAACACGAGGAUGCAGAUUAAACGUCAGCGCGAACCGCUUACGAAAAACAGUCCGGAGCGUUUGUGCGGUCCUGCUCCUGAAAUAUUUUGCCGUUAUUUCUUCUCUCAGUUUGGCGCAUUGAGGCAACGAAACUCUCUUGAACGCCGGCGGCGCUGAAUGUCAAACGUCACAGGAGAGAUUGUCUCGUUUUGUAAAGCAGAAAUGAAGAAUUCUGGGGAAUUUUAUCUCGCAAUAAUCUCUGGAAAACAAAUUUCAUUUCAAACUACAAAACUACAACAACAAUCAGACACUUCUCUGCCCCAAAGUAGCUAAAUAAAUUCACCUUUUCACCAUUUGAAUGAAUACUGGAGCCAGUGGGAAACCACAACUUCCCAGAGUCAGCCAACGAGGUCCAACAUUAAAACCUGUGAGCUUUUAGAGGGCUGCUCGGCCUAUUCUGUACAGUCGUUUUCUUCAUUUUCCCCUCUGAAUGCUAAGCUACGCUAAUGGUCUUGUGGCCCUCGCUUCGUACAGACUCGAGAGUGGCAUCAAUCUUCUCAUUAGCUCUUGGCAUGAAAGCGGACAACGUGCGUUUCCCAUGUUGAACAAUGGCUUUGACAAAAUAAAUAAAGGGUCACAUUCCGCGGAUCAAACGAUGCCUCGCUGCAGCGACGAGCUGAUUGGAUUUGCCACGAGGUCUUUUUCAGGUUGUCAAGGCACCGCAAGCAUCUUUGAGUUUGGCACCCGGGUGGAUUUACCAGAAGUUACACAGUCAUCAUGUCUGCAGAUCCACCGAGGAAACCAAACGCCUGUCGGGACCUCACCACUUCUUUGUGUCCCUCCCUGAUUCAAUCAGCUUUGUUGGAUGCAGAUUUCUCGGACUGAUACAAGUGGGCGCAAUAUUUACUUUUCUUACACAGUAAACAUCUUUCUAUUUAGUCUACCAGGUCGCUGAUGUGUUUGAGCCAAACUUUGUUAGUGUGAGGUUGGUCCUGGCUGGAGGUUUAUUUUAGGGCAACAUUUGUGUGUUUUUUCGGAUGUGGAUCAGAUCACUUUGAGGCUCUUUGACGGUAACUUUGUGUUUUGACUCGCGUCUGUGUUCACGGUCUGGUAAUUUUGUGUUUUGUAUGUUCUGCCCACAGACUGUAUAUAAGGAGGGGACAUCGGUUGGUCUUUGACGCAUCUAGUUUGACAUUGGGGUUUAGUCUUGUUUGAGCCAGAAGUUACCAUAUUUGGACAAGGUUGAGUCCAACGAGGCCCGGGAGGGCCAGAUCCUGUUAGCAGCUAAUGCUAUCGCUAGCUGGGUUAUCAAAAAGUAUCUGUAAAUUCACAUUAGCUAAACUUAGCAAUUCAAAUCUAAGUUAAGAAAAAACAGGCUUGUUUGAAGUGUGGUGUUAGAGAGUUAGAGAGCUGUCAAUCACAGUGCUUCAUGGUCUAUUAUACCCUAAUAAUUUACUAAGUGAACAUCAUGCUGCCUUGAAGACUUGGAACUAGAGAUUGAGACCAUAACCUCAUAUUUACAAUGCUUACCCAGGGAAUAAAUCAAGAGAAAAGUAGAGUCAUUUUCCCAUAGACUUCUAUGGUAAGAGAGGAGUCGCCCCUGGUGGUCACUUGAGAGAAUGCAGCUUUGAGACCCUUCAGCCCUGGCUUCACUCUUCAGACCCAGACAUGAAGCGUACGACUGAUCAGCCUCACUGUGACCUUUUGUCUUUGCUUGUUCAGACGACACAGACUCCCCCAGGAGAACAGUGGUGACUCCAAACUGUCCAGUGGGUUUUGUUCCUCUUAUUCUAUUCUUUCGCCUCCACAUUAAUCCCAUAAAUAUAUCCCAUCUCUUCAUAACUGCACAUAAAUCACUCUCCAUUUCUCCACUCUAUCGUUCUUACACAGCACCCUCCACGUGAACUCUCCGCUGGCAGGGGAUCCACUCAGGUGCCUCUCCAUGUGUGUGUGUGUGUGUGUGCGCAAAAGAAGCAUGUGUCUCGAGUGUGUUUAUGUGCUACAAUAGAGUCCUGUUUGUUUGCAGGGGGAAUCUGUGUGUGUGUGUGUGUGUGUAUGUGAGAGAGAGUCAGGUGUCGAGUUUACCCCCAGAUCGACCCAACCUGGGAAUGAUCUAGUCUCAGAGGGGGAAGCCAAAACUUCUCCACCAUGUAUGUGUGUGUGUGUGUGUGCGUCUAACCCAGAGAUGACUCACAAACCAUCUGGAGGCCAGAUGCAGGUUAGAAAACUACUCUCUCUCUACUCUGUCCCCUCCCUCCCUCCAGUUGCCAUUAGUUCCCUUAGUUAACCUGUGAACUUUGACCUGUGUGCUGUGCAUGUGUGUGAGUUCAUCCUGUGUGUGUCUGUGUGUGUCUUGUCCUGGUGUCCUGGUUAAGUCAACGACGGGGUUGUGACCUUUCUCAGCGGUUGCAAACUCUCCCUCGGUGACCCCCGGAGUUCAAGUUCACUAAUUGUCCCUCAUCCCAGUUAAACAGCCUCCAUCUUUCUCCCCCUUUGGCGGCUCCGCCUCCCUGUCACCUGGUACGUAGAUUAAGUCUGGGAAACAAGACAUUACUAAAAGGUCUUACAGGCCGGUCUCUGAGUUGUUUUCUAUUUAGUUCCAAUUGGCGUUUGUUAAAAAUGAGAUGUUUAAUUUGCCAGAAGAAAGACUCAGGACGUCCAAAAACAAGGAUUCAGAUAUCCGAAAUGAAUGCCAGGGAGUCCUCCCAGUACCUCCGGUUCACAUCUUACACGGCAUUAUGGGAGCAGCGGUUCCCCUGCGGAUGUACUCUGGGUAGUUAAAUCGAAAAGAAUGUGUCCCAUCGGUCCCCGGAGAGCAGAUGAUGACUCCGCAGACCUCAUGAGGACAACGUCUUACGCUUAACCGCAUAAGAACAAAGACGAUCCACCACAGCCCAUUCUUCUGGAGAUAAAACGGGCGUUUAUGUGCUGUCAUACGUUUCAAUACCGUCAAGACUUGAAAGUAAAUCAUCAAAAUAAUUGUGUGUGUGUUCGACUGACACCAGUAAACCAGUAAGAUGUAUCAUCAAUGUAACAAGACAACAGGAAUUCUGUCUAAUGCUCAGCCAAAUGUUCUAAAUUCGUCCCCUGAGAGGUCGAGUCUGUGCGCGGGCGGGACAACAUUGUUUUGAACACCAUCUUCGAAGUGUGAGCAUGUGGUGGACGCGUGAGGUUUGACAGGAGAUGACUGUAUCUCAGGUCCUGAUUGGACCUAAAGCUUUGGUUUUGGUAGGAGGGUGUUGAGGGGUUGCUGAAGGUCCGUUUUUAUAAGCUGUCGAGGCUCAAUCUGUGCAGGUGUGAGAAUGAAAGAAAGAGGCCAAACAAGGACUAGAUGGCAAACCGCCCUUCACUCCCACAGCAUUCCCAAAUUGGCCUCUAUAAACCCUUUGUUUUGGACACUUCCCUUCCUCAGCGCUCCACUGGAUGCUUUUAUUCUGAAGGGCCAUCAGAGGGGAAGCUAAACAGCUGGAUUGUGGAGUAGAAACAACCCCCCAAAAAGGGCCACAAACUACAUUCAGAUUCCAGCUGAGAUGAUCCCAGUUAGCUGCUGGUGGGAGGAGCUUUGCCUCUCCGCCACUGACCACGAGCCUAUCGGGUGGGAAACGAGACACAGGUUGGAUACCAGCUGAGAGAUCAGCAUAUCCAGAUGUUUUGGUAGAACAACAACCCCCAACAAUUAUUUUCCCUAGUUAUCUGAUGAACAUCUUUACUUUUACAACAUACAUUUGUCUCCUCAAAGUUUAGUGUUAUACUAAAUCACAUUAUCUGUUGUUCAAAUGUGAUUUCAUUAUAGUUUAUUAUACCACUGAAGAAUUUUAAUUUAAACCUGCUGACACACUAAAGAGGUUGUUGUAUUCCACUUGAAGUCUAGUUUUGAGGCUUUAAGCUGCAACUCAAACAGCAAAACAGUCUUUGAGAUAGAGUCCAAAUGUUUAAAGUCUAAAUCAAGUCUCUAGUCUUUGAUAAAGAGUCCAACUCAAAUGUCAAGCGUAAAGAGACAUCCCAUCAUAUGGAGGAGUGAAGGGAUUUCUUUACAAUAUCAAUAUCCAGGUUAAAUAUCCAUGGUCCUAACUGAGCAGCUGUCUUGUCAGAGGCCUCACUGGAGAACUGAUUUGGACAACAAGAGCGAAAUGUUGCAGGCGGACGUCGGCGCAAUCACAAAAAACUGCAGCACAACGUGGCCAAGAUGUCAAGAUGUCCGCCUCCAGCCACGAUGGUCCCGACCAAUCGUACGACUGUUCCUCAAUGCCGGGAUCCUCUCUCUCUCUCUCUCGCUCUCUCUCUCUCUCUGACAUUUCCAUGAACCAACUCUUGAUGUUCCUCAGAAGAACAGAGGAGAGGACGAGAGGACGGUUGAAAGACAGGGUUUGGGAAAAAGAAACAAUAGAAAUGUGCCGGGCAGAUGUCCCCCCCCCCACCCCCCUUCCCUUCUUUCCCAAUACUCCUGUUGAAACUGGGGUAAUAUCUCCGGUGUGUGCUGACACGUUUUGGGCAGUGACCAUUCAGGGGGAUUUUAACAGACAGAAACCCGAGUGGGCGCCCGCUACCGUGGGGGGGUGGAAAGACGACAGCAUGGAGUCCCGCCGGGAGAAGGACGUGUGACAGGAACCACCUUGUGAACUCAGCCUAAUUUGGGCAUUUUGUAGAACAUUUACUGCACACACGCAACAAAGAAAGGCCUCAGGAUGGAAAGGAGUUGUGUCAGAGCGUCCUGUAGGAACAAAGGAGAGUCGGGAAACAGACUGUAACUAUACGGCCGCCUGAAUGAAACACAUUCACUGAUGAUGUGUCCGAGUCAAGUUGGUGGUUUUUCCUCAGACCAAAAGUCAAAAGCUGCACGGAUCAAAUUCACAGUUAUCUAACAAAAGGGAACUUAACUGUAUUUACAGUGCGACAGUAAUGCAGCUGAAAUAACACCGGCUGGUGUCCAUCUUUUCCUUUGUGCUCUUCAGAUAGGAUUCUCCUCAUCAUGAAGGUCACACUUUGCACAACGCAGGCCUCACGCUCUUUGGCAGAAGCUCCCUGACCACCACGAAGGGGGAAAUACCAUUUCUGCUCAAAUGAAACACGAGUCCGGGCCAAGCGGCCGUCUUACUCUUUAAAAUCUCACUCCGGCUCGGUGGGGCCGAGCAGCGGAGCGACAUGAGAUUCUCAGAGAAUCGGUUCCGUUUCCCUGCGUUGGCUUCGGCUAACGAUGUUACCAAAGAAAACGUUUUGGACUUCCUGUACGGGAUCUAAUUUGGAAUAGAAAUGUAUUUUUUGUGUAUAUUCACCUGAUUUAAGGGCCUCUUUACGCAAUGCCAAGCCAGAACUCUCCUGGAUCUAGCUCCCUGUACUUCCCUAAAGUUCGCCAGCAUUUUCAGGACUUUGAACCACUUGCUCCUCAUUGUAUUACUCCAGUGUGUGAAUGAAGGACUCCGUCAUUUGUGAUAGACGCUCAGAAACAACAUAUUGAGAAAGAAAAGUUGAGCCAAACCUUUUGAUUUCCUGUUGUUGGGUACUUUCACGCUGAAAAUAUAUCAAAACGGUCUCAAAGCAGAAGCAAACGAACAUGUAGUUUCCUCCCGCUGCAUUGUGCGUCAACGUCCUACUACACUCUACGCUGUCAGAUCUGAUCCUUAAGGGACCAAAACUCCUGCCUCCCCAUUAGAAGGCGGUUUCCGCGCAAACACUGGUCCCUAAAACUUACCCGCUCUGGUUUCUGGGAUGUGCCAACGAAAUGAAAUUCUCCCUGAAACCCAAACAUUCAGUCCGCCGACUACAAAUGUGUCAAGGACGUGUUUGUUUGCAGAAAAUGUGUAAUUACACAGUUUCACAGUCCGUUUACUGUGGGACUCGAACACCUCUUCCGCCACCGAGCUCAAGAACUUUACUUCGCUCACUUUUACUUUCACGUAGGUGUUUAGAGAGGGAGCGAAUUAGAGGGAAUUAUGAAGAGGAGAAAGAAAUGGAAGACAGACAUGCAUUAGCACAUUGUUACUGCAGUGGCCAGUCAGUCUGGGAACCCGUAAUAACCCUUCAACACUAAUGACAAAACCACACACAUGCACGCGCGCACACAGUCUCGAGGUCUCUCCUCCGCCUAUGUAUCUCGUCUCUCUGUAGUCACUUCUACGUCCUCCCUCCUUCUCUAUGGCGCACACACACACACACACACACACACAAAUACAUGAGCGGUGUUGCUGUGUUGAUGGUAAUACCAGGGUUAUUGGGAGGGGAGAGAGUAAUUCCCUCUGACAGCCCCAUUAAGGGAUGAAAUACCACCACUACUAAAAAACGACUUGGGUUUCACUUGUGACGCCGCACCAGCCUACAUUCGAUUUUUCUGGGUUAUUUUGAGGGCAAUCUGGAGCGGCAAAAUGGCAUGAAAAACUAAAAUAAAAAUGAAUACGUCGGUGUUUGUCGCGUUCGGGACGCCCAAGUGUUCGCCCGCCAAUUCCUUUUGCCCGCGUAUUUCUCCGUCAGCAGGAAAUCUAUAUGGCACUGGUUGUUUUCACUCUGGCUCAAGAGUUGCUUAUAAAUCACGGAUGAAGAGUGGACCACCGGCUCCGACUCAAAAACACGGUGGACCGGAGAGUAAAUCAGGGUCAGGUGGGCUUCAAUAAGCAGCCUUAACAAUCGCCAUCCAUCAACCGGAUUUCUUUAUGAAAAUAAAAAGAGAAAUCUGAGAUGUUCCAGCUUAUAGGCUCGUCACUUUUGUUUUACACCACAAAUUAACCCAAAGUGUCUUUAUACAGGCCAGAUUUUUAAUAGUACAUGAUUGGACCUCGACCAUGUUGCUGACAUCUGUGUUAACAGAAUUUACCACUGUGGAUGUGGUGUGUGUAAACACUGCUAACCCACCAAUGACUCCAAACCAACAUAAGCAUUACCUAAAGGGAGAACAUUAGUUGGGUAUUUACAAGCAGAGGCAGAGGAACAUUGGCAUUUGCUUGAAGCUGUGUUCAAAGCUACUUGAUGAAUUUUAGUGGAACGCUCACUUUCCUUUUAGCUCUGGUUCGGUCUCCUCCAACGGAAAA